UGCAUAGAAAUGUAAACAGGUAUCAAAGGCCUAAGGCUGAAAGAGGCACCUGCUAAGGAAGUGACAACUUCAGCUUCUGUCAGAAGAAUCUAACACACAGUAACAACCCUCUUUGCAAACCAAGCAGUGUAAAGAGGCAAAAAGUGCUUGUGGAGCUUCAUCUUGGCCCCCAUUUGAUGUCUUUCACACCAUGAAACUGUCUUUUCAAAGCAUGGCUGUCUGCCCACUCAGCAUUUAGAAAUGAAUCGUCGUCAUCCUCUUCAAGUUUCUUAAGUUCUUCCUGCUUUUUGUAGUAAUACAGCAUCAUCUGUUUUUGUUCUUCAUGGCUAAUCAGAGGCUCACGUCCUGGAGCUCCUUGUCCUUUUUUCUGUAUCUUGACAAUGAUGGUCGUUUUCUCAUUUCUGCCUACAUAGUCAGAAAGCAACUUUGUUUCUUUCAACUCUUUUCCUGCCCACCAUAACUGCGCUUCGCCUUCUUCUAUGACUUCGAGCCCAGCGUGAGUCCCCGACAGGUCUUCUUUAUCUUCCAGCUCCAUCCUAACUGGAUCAUGCGGAGGCAAUCCCAUUGGAUACACAAUCAUCACAGCCCCUCGGAGUUGGUCCAAUGCAUCUUUCACCAUCUCCAGAUUAACACACACGUUGGCCUGAACUUGUUUCUUGGAGAUUAAUGCCUUGGCUUCCUCUAUGGUCUUUCUUAUAACUUGCUGCAUUUUCUCAUUCGGAGCAUGUCCGUUCCUCCGUCCAAUCUCAUCCUUCUUGAAGACACUCCCGCCGCUGGGAACGCACUUUUCUGCCCACUCGUCCUUUAACUUCAGUUCUUCAAUCUGCUCGUCCGUCAGCCCUUGCAUAUUGAGCGGCAAGUACGCACCGUGCUCCGCCAGCUCCUGCAUCUCUGCGCACAGCCGCUGCACCUUCAGCCUGCCGUUGUAGAUGCGGGCGACGAGAGGCGCCAGCUCGGCGAGGCGGGCGCCGCAGGCCGCCUCCAGCAGGAACUGGCUCUCAUCGCCGCGCUUCACGUGCAGCCGCACCAUGGCGGGGCCGGGGCGAGCAGGGAGACGACGGCGGGACCCCGCGGUAGCUCCCGCGGCACGUCGCGCGUGCGCGGGAGGCGUUUGGAGCCGCU
RNAcentral lists this long non-coding RNA (1122 nucleotides) under Gallus gallus (chicken). The record is from RNAcentral. Lineage: Eukaryota; Metazoa; Chordata; Aves; Galliformes; Phasianidae.